GGGUUUAUAGUUUAAUGGUAAAACUUUCGGCCGUUAACCGAAGAAUGAAGUUUCGAUUACUUCUGAACCCG
RNAcentral lists this transfer RNA (71 nucleotides) under Bacteroidota bacterium. RNAcentral describes it as "Bacteroidetes bacterium (marine metagenome) tRNA-Asn". It matches the Rfam family "tRNA". From Rfam's summary of the family: Transfer RNA (tRNA) molecules are approximately 80 nucleotides in length. Their secondary structure includes four short double-helical elements and three loops (D, anti-codon, and T loops). The record is from RNAcentral. Lineage: Bacteria; Pseudomonadati; Bacteroidota.